GCAGAAUUCAGUUUGGCAGCAUUAAUUGGCCACAUGAUAGAAGAGGUUAGUGAGCUGCAGCCUGAAGCAUGAGCACUUCUGUGUAGCUAACCUUACAGGAAGUCAGCACAUGUUCUGAGAGAGCAAGCGGGCGAGGGACAGACUAUAAGCCACAAUGCUGCAGCUGAGCUGCUCUCCUUGCUGAAGGUCUCCCAGUGGUCGGAUUUCACCAUGGUCCUCUCUACACACAUGGGCAGAUGUGCUGGGAUAUUCGUCGUUGCUUUUAUAUGUGACGUGGCUGGAUUGAUCAUCCUCCUCUUGGGGAUUUUUGCCGAUCUGGACUAUUGGGACUUCUUUAUUUACUCAGGAGCACUGCUGCUGGCCUUCAGCCUGGUCUUCUGGAUAUUCUGGUAUUCGUUCAACAUCGAGGUCCCCUUUAAGGAACUAGGCUUUUAACUAACCUACAACUGCGGGAAAGCACAAACGGUACCUAUGGGCUAGAGAAGCAACAUUUCAGCAGCUGAGAAAUAUCUGAAAGCUUUACUCAACUGCAGAAGAGCAUUAAACCCCUCACAGUGAAGGGGCCUGUUAUUUCCCACGCUGCCAUCCACCUGGCAAACCUUCCAGCGGAAAGUGCCCGUGGAAAGCAGCCAUGCUGUUCCCCAUGCCCAUGGAACAAGGGCAAUUUGGAAGCUGCAACAAGAGGCCCAAAGAUCAGAAAUGUAGGUUACCAAGAAAACGAAGAAGGAGAUAAGUGAGGAACAUGUACUCGUCUGCUCUUCAAGGGGGCAUUCGUCUGAUAAUGAAUCCCUAAAAAUGCAACAAAGAGUCAUGUGGAUCCAUGCUGUGCACUUCACAACCUCUCUGAACCUGAGCAUUCAACCAACGUGAACUAUGUUUGCACAUCCUCCACACUGAACAGCACGUGCUAGGCACAUUGCGUGGAAGUCUUUCCUCCAGCAUUGC
Molecule: long non-coding RNA, 945 nt
Organism: Mauremys reevesii (Reeves's turtle)
Lineage: Eukaryota; Metazoa; Chordata; Testudines; Geoemydidae
Exons: 4
Source: RefSeq, a predicted model, not a curated record